This 74-nucleotide transfer RNA is filed under the name Asticcacaulis excentricus CB 48. It matches the Rfam family "tRNA". Rfam says of the family: Transfer RNA (tRNA) molecules are approximately 80 nucleotides in length. Their secondary structure includes four short double-helical elements and three loops (D, anti-codon, and T loops). Lineage: Bacteria; Pseudomonadati; Pseudomonadota; Alphaproteobacteria; Caulobacterales; Caulobacteraceae. The record is from Rfam by way of RNAcentral.
GCACCCGUAGCUCAGCUGGAUAGAGCGUUGCCCUCCGAAGGCAAAGGUCGUGCGUUCGAAUCGCGCCGGGUGCG